RNAcentral lists this ribosomal RNA (466 nucleotides) under Vreelandella stevensii. RNAcentral's name for it is "partial 16S ribosomal RNA". It matches the Rfam family "Bacterial small subunit ribosomal RNA", at positions 338 to 795 of the family's 1533-position model. Lineage: Bacteria; Pseudomonadati; Pseudomonadota; Gammaproteobacteria; Oceanospirillales; Halomonadaceae. The record is from RNAcentral.
CCUACGGGUGGCUGCAGUGGGGAAUAUUGGACAAUGGGCGAAAGCCUGAUCCAGCCAUGCCGCGUGUGUGAAGAAGGCCUUCGGGUUGUAAAGCACUUUCAGUGGGGAAGAAAGCCUUGGGGCUAAUACCCUCGAGGAAGGACAUCACCCACAGAAGAAGCACCGGCUGAACUCCGUGCCAGCAGCCGCGGUAAUACGGAGGGUGCGAGCGUUAAUCGGAAUUACUGGGCGUAAAGCGCGCGUAGGCGGUCUGAUAAGCCGGUUGUGAAAGCCCCGGGCUCAACCUGGGAACGGCAUCCGGAACUGUCAGGCUAGAGUGCAGGAGAGGAAGGUAGAAUUCCCGGUGUAGCGGUGAAAUGCGUAGAGAUCGGGAGGAAUACCAGUGGCGAAGGCGGCCUUCUGGACUGACACUGACGCUGAGGUGCGAAAGCGUGGGUAGCAAACAGGAUUAGAUACCCGUGUAGUC